AGCCUCCUUCCUCCCCAAGAACUAGGGUUUAACGUUUUGGCUCUUCUCUAGCACGAAGAAGGCACUACUUUUGGUGGCGCAAGGCUACUGUGUUGCGCGAGAGAAGAUUUGGUUGCGAGGAAGAUGAUGGAGGCGUAAGGGUUUCUCAAUCUCGUUUCUAGGCUCAAGUUGAGGCUUGAGGGAGAUAGUGGUUCACGAGGAGGCGUUGAAGAGGCUUUGGAUCUGUUCUAGGCGUGGUUCACGUCUAGGUGGCUUGCUAGAACUGGUUAUGUCACGAUGGUGGCUAGAUGAUGCGACACUUAAUGCUGAGAAUGUUGAACAUGAUGAGGGUUAUAGAAAAAAUAAAUGGGCAAAGAUUAAGCAGUGCCAAGUGUUGGGAUUUUUGACCAACUGGAAGGUUGACAACAUGGUAAGAAUCAUUUUAUAUCUUAAUGUUUUAUUUAUAGGUGUAGGAUGAAUGUAUUAAGCAUUUUAUGUUUAUGUCAUGUUUGUUGCAAGCACUUUUAUGUACAUGGAACAGAGGAUGUAAAAACUUGUGAAUAUGAUUGUCUUUGGUCCUUAAUAUAUAGUAUAAGUAAUGGUAUAAGUUAUUUAGUUAUUUUCUUUUUCAUUUUUAUUGCAACCCAUGUUGUUAACUUGUAUGGACAU
Long non-coding RNA from Vigna radiata var. radiata (mung bean), 648 nucleotides. RefSeq lists it as uncharacterized. The record is from RefSeq and is a predicted model, not a curated record. NCBI's taxonomy places the organism in Eukaryota, Viridiplantae, Streptophyta, Magnoliopsida, Fabales, Fabaceae. The transcript has 4 exons.